GGGCCGUUAGCUCAGCUGGGAGAGUGCUGCGUUCGCAAUGCAGAGGUCGAGGGUUCGAUCCCCUUACGGUCCA
Molecule: transfer RNA, 73 nt
Filed under: Ruminococcaceae bacterium OttesenSCG-928-L11
Lineage: Bacteria; Bacillati; Bacillota; Clostridia; Eubacteriales; Oscillospiraceae
Description: tRNA-Ala
Rfam family: tRNA
About the family: Transfer RNA (tRNA) molecules are approximately 80 nucleotides in length. Their secondary structure includes four short double-helical elements and three loops (D, anti-codon, and T loops).
Source: RNAcentral